GAUGAACGCUGGCGGCGUGCCUAAUACAUGCGAGUCGAACGAACAGACGAGGAUCUUGCUCCUUUCGGGUUAGAGACGGACGGGUGAGUCAAACGUAGGUACCCUGUCUUGAAGAAUGGGAUAACUAAGGGCGAACUAAUAUCUCAUACGAUAUGAUGUUGAAAGGCGUGGUCCGAAAGUGCUAGAUACAUUUGUUCUGCCUAUGACGGAUUAGCUAGCUGUUGUGGUAAAGGCUUACCAAGGCGACGAUCCGUAGCAGAGCUGAGAGGGCGAUCAGCCACACUGGAACUGAGACACGGCCCAGACUCCUACGGGAGGCAGCAGUGGGGAAUCUUGGACAAUGGGCGAAAGCCUGACCCAGCAAUGCCGCGUGAGUGAAGAAGGCCUUCGGAUCGUAAAACGCUGUUAUUAGGGAAGAACAACUGUGGGCUAAUAAGCCGGGGGCUUGACGGUACCGGAAGAAAAAGCAACGGCUAACUACGUG
Molecule: ribosomal RNA, 484 nt
Filed under: uncultured bacterium
Lineage: Bacteria
Description: partial 16S ribosomal RNA
Rfam family: Bacterial small subunit ribosomal RNA
Source: RNAcentral